UACAUACUAGCUCAUCUAGGUAGAGCAUUCGUCUCAUAAACGACUGGUAGCAGGUUCAAAUCCUGCGUAUAAAAC
Molecule: transfer RNA, 75 nt
Filed under: Chroococcus sp. FPU101
Lineage: Bacteria; Bacillati; Cyanobacteriota; Cyanophyceae; Chroococcales; Chroococcaceae
Description: tRNA-Met
Rfam family: tRNA
About the family: Transfer RNA (tRNA) molecules are approximately 80 nucleotides in length. Their secondary structure includes four short double-helical elements and three loops (D, anti-codon, and T loops).
Source: RNAcentral